GACGAACGCUGGCGGCGUGCUUAACACAUGCAAGUCGAACGGAAAGGCCCUGCUUUUGUGGGUUGCUCGAGUGGCGAACGGGUGAGUAACACGUGAGUAACCUGCCCUUGACUUUGGGAUAACUUCAGGAAACUGGGGCUAAUACCGGAUAGGAGCUCCUGCUGCAUGGUGGGGGUUGGAAAGUUUCGGCGGUUGGGGAUGGACUCGCGGGUUAUCAGCUUGUUGGUGGGGUAGUGGCUUACCAAGGCUUUGACGGGUAGCCGGCCUGAGAGGGUGACCGGCCACAUUGGGACUGAGAUACGGCCCAGACUCCUACGGGAGGCAGCAGUGGGGAAUAUUGCACAAUGGGCGGAAGCCUGAUGCAGCAACGCCGCGUGCGGGAUGACGGCCUUCGGGGUGUAAACCGCUUUCGCCUGUGACGAAGCGUGAGUGACGGUAAUGGGUAAAGAAGCACCGGCUAACUACGUG
Molecule: ribosomal RNA, 468 nt
Filed under: uncultured bacterium
Lineage: Bacteria
Description: partial 16S ribosomal RNA
Rfam family: Bacterial small subunit ribosomal RNA
Source: RNAcentral